This 76-nucleotide transfer RNA is filed under the name Streptococcus pyogenes. Its description in RNAcentral is "tRNA-Asn(gtt)". It matches the Rfam family "tRNA". From Rfam's summary of the family: Transfer RNA (tRNA) molecules are approximately 80 nucleotides in length. Their secondary structure includes four short double-helical elements and three loops (D, anti-codon, and T loops). The record is from RNAcentral. Lineage: Bacteria; Bacillati; Bacillota; Bacilli; Lactobacillales; Streptococcaceae.
UUCCGGCAUAGCUCAGUUGGUAGUAGCGCAUGACUGUUAAUCAUGAUGUCGUAGGUUCGAGCCCUACUGCCGGAGU